RNAcentral lists this unclassified non-coding RNA (681 nucleotides) under Pseudospiridentopsis horrida. RNAcentral's name for it is "sequence contains ITS1, 5.8S rRNA gene, ITS2". The stretch from base 283 to 435 matches the Rfam family "5.8S ribosomal RNA". The record is from RNAcentral. Lineage: Eukaryota; Viridiplantae; Streptophyta; Bryopsida; Hypnales; Meteoriaceae.
GCGGCGAACGAACACAUUGUCCCCCCCCCUUCGGUGGGUCGUGGCGCCUCGCGGCGUCCCGGCCGGCCGUCUCCCUUCGUCACGAGCUUCGUCGCUUCACGUGGCGAUUCUCGGGGCGGUGGGGUUUCCACGAUGCGCCCACCUUGACCGAAUGACUGAGUCCCGAAUGCUUGGAUCUAGGAGCCGGUGAGUUUCGUCCCCUUGAGCGAGUGGCUUUCGCUCGCGCGGGGGGUUCGGCGCGCGCUGGUUGCCUUGUGACGAGCUGAAACGUGAAUCGAAAACAACUCUCAGCAACGGAUAUCUUGGCUCUUGCAACGAUGAAGAACGCAGCGAAAUGCGAUACGUAGUGUGAAUUGCAGAAUUCCGCGAAUCAUCGAGUCUUUGAACGCAAGUUGCGCCCGAGGCUUGUCCAAGGGCAUUUCCGCUAGAGCGUCACCGCGCCCCCCCACCGAUCCGCUCCCGCGUGGAGUCGUGUCGAGUGGAAGUGGCCGUCCCGGUCUCGGCCUUCGCGCCGAGUGAAGGGUCGGCUGAAAUGGAUGGAAUUGGGCCGCCGCGGUGACACAGUCCGCGAUCGGGUGAUUUUUCGGCGAGCCUCCCUUUGGGAGGAGGAGAGCCGUGAAUUUUUCUAAGUGCGUGGCUGCGUCCCCCAGUUGGUUUUUACCUAGUGCAGGUCUUGCGCGC